RNAcentral lists this long non-coding RNA (510 nucleotides) under Lynx pardinus (Iberian lynx). Lineage: Eukaryota; Metazoa; Chordata; Mammalia; Carnivora; Felidae. The record is from RNAcentral.
CUUUCUUCUCCUCCCUCACUCCCUCCUCUUCUGUCUCUCUCUGCAACCUCUCUGGAUAUCUGUCUUCAUCUACAUCUCUGCAUCUCUGAGCAUCUUGGCCUUCCUCUCCCUGCCUCCGCCGCCCCCCCCCCCCCAGGGACUCACAUUCCCUAAAUACUAAUGACUGGGAUUUGCAGUGCCCUGGGCUCAGUUAAAUUCUGCUCCCCAGCUCUGCCAUCAUCUGCCUUUGCCUGAAGGUGAGAAACUGCGGGCUUGGAGGUGGUGGGGGCCACCUGCAGGGUUUUGGGGGAAGGGAAGGAGAGGGGGAGGAGAAUCUGGGAAUUGGCUCCUCCCCUCCCCUCUCCCUCUUUCCUCGGGUGCCUGGAUGGCCCUGGAAGGAUCCCUACCAGGAGCCAAAGCUGGAGACUCAGGAACGGAAGGAUCCAGCAGGGAGAGUUGAAAACUGCCUGCUUAGGGGAGGGUCUUGGAGGCUCUGUUUUUCUGGAUAGUGGCGUCCCCAAACCCAACCAG